GUCCAGACUCCUACGGGAGGCAGCAGUGAGGAAUAUUGGUCAAUGGGCGCGAGCCUGAACCAGCCAAGUCGCGUGAGGGAAGACGGUCCUAUGGAUUGUAAACCUCUUUUGUCGGGGAGCAAAAGACGCCACGUGUGGCGUUCCGAGAGUACCCGAAGAAAAAGCAUCGGCUAACUCCGUGCCAGCAGCCGCGGUAAUACGGAGGAUGCGAGCGUUAUCCGGAUUUAUUGGGUUUAAAGGGUGCGCAGGCGGGCUGUUAAGCCGGCGGUAAAAAUUCAGGGCUCAACCCUGUCGAGCCGUCGGAACUGGCAGUCUUGAGUGGGCGAGAAGUAUGCGGAAUGCGUGGUGUAGCGGUGAAAUGCAUAGAUAUCACGCAGAACGCCGAUUGCGAAGGCAGCAUACCGGCGCCCAACUGACGCUGAGGCACGAAAGCGUGGGGAUCGAACAGGAUUAGAUACCCCCGUA
Molecule: ribosomal RNA, 465 nt
Filed under: uncultured bacterium
Lineage: Bacteria
Description: bacterial SSU rRNA
Rfam family: Bacterial small subunit ribosomal RNA
Source: RNAcentral